This 373-nucleotide ribosomal RNA is filed under the name uncultured bacterium. RNAcentral's name for it is "bacterial SSU rRNA". It matches the Rfam family "Bacterial small subunit ribosomal RNA", at positions 525 to 896 of the family's 1533-position model. The record is from RNAcentral.
ACGGAGGGUGCGAGCGUUGUCCGGAAUCACUGGGCGUAAAGGGCGCGUAGGCGGCCCGAUAAGUAGGAGGUGAAAUCCUGCGGCUUAACCGCAGGGCUGCCUUCUAAACUGUCAGGCUAGAGCACGGUAGAGGCAGAUGGAAUUCCCGGUGUAGCGGUGGAAUGCGUAGAGAUCGGGAAGAACAUCAGUGGCGAAGGCGGUCUGCUGGGCCGUUGCUGACGCUGAGGCGCGACAGCGUGGGGAGCAAACAGGAUUAGAUACCCUGGUAGUCCACGCCGUAAACGAUGGGCACUAGGCGUCGGGGGGAGCGACCCUCCCGGUGCCGUCGCUAACGCAGUAAGUGCCCCGCCUGGGGAGUACGGCCGCAAGGCUG